UGGGGAAUAUUGGACAAUGGGGGAAACCCUGAUCCAGCGAUGCCGCGUGAGUGAAGAAGGCCUUCGGGUCGUAAAGCUCUUUAGGUUGGGAAGAAGGGUGUGCGUGGAAUAUACGCAUACUUUGACGGUACCGACAGAAUAAGCACCGGCAAAUUCUGUGCCAGCAGCCGCGGUAAUACAGAAGGUGCGAGCGUUAAUCGGAUUUACUGGGCGUAAAGGGCACGUAGGCGGUAGGAUGUGUGUGAUGUGAAAGCCCCGGGCUCAACCUGGGAAGUGCAUCGCAAACUAUCUAACUAGAGUAGAUGAGAGGGUGGCGGAAUUUCCAGUGUAGCGGUGAAAUGCGUAGAGAUUGGAAGGAACGUCAAUGGCGAAGGCAGCCACCUGGCAUCAUACUGACGCU
RNAcentral lists this ribosomal RNA (400 nucleotides) under uncultured bacterium. RNAcentral describes it as "bacterial SSU rRNA". It matches the Rfam family "Bacterial small subunit ribosomal RNA", at positions 355 to 747 of the family's 1533-position model. The record is from RNAcentral.